CUUAUGGAGCGAAAAUGAUUAGCGUUAGCAGUGCUCUCUGAGAUGCGACAUGUGAGAAAUCGGAACUAAUUUGUGGCCGCCAUAUUGCUACAGUUGCGUUCGCUUUAAUGCUUUAAUGCUUUAAGCCUUUAAUAAGAAAAAAGAAAAAAGUGUUACGAAGAAGAGGUGUUACGAGGAAGAAGCACGAGAAGAAGCAGGUGCGAGAAGGAAAAACUUUUAGUAUUACUGUCAGUAACGACAACCAAAGUAAGGACUACAAGAAGACUUCAACAAGGGAAGAAGAAAAAACAAGAAGAAACAGUUACUCAAGAACCACCAAAAUCUUUUCCCUGUUAGCGACAAACAACUUGUUUUAUUUGAAUCUCAUAACAGCGGGAUCAAGAUGGUACGAAUAUGUUGUGUACUAGGAUGUUCGCCAGGGAAGACAGCACCAUCGCAUAAAUCCCCACGAAAUGCUGAACGUAGGCUACAGUGGUUCAAGAAUUUGAAAAUGGAGACAGUGGAGGGACCUGAGAAGAAAAAGUUAUGAGUAUGCUACAACCAUUUUAGGGACAGCGAUAAUAUACAAUCUUAUUAUAAAUUUUU
Molecule: long non-coding RNA, 585 nt
Filed under: Harpegnathos saltator (Jerdon's jumping ant)
Lineage: Eukaryota; Metazoa; Arthropoda; Insecta; Hymenoptera; Formicidae
Description: uncharacterized LOC112588475
Source: RNAcentral